This 838-nucleotide ribosomal RNA is filed under the name uncultured bacterium. RNAcentral's name for it is "bacterial SSU rRNA". It matches the Rfam family "Bacterial small subunit ribosomal RNA", at positions 51 to 885 of the family's 1533-position model. The record is from RNAcentral.
ACACAUGCAAGUCGAACGGAACUUCUUUAAUUGACUUCUUCGGAAUGAUUUUGAUUAAGUUUAGUGGCGGACGGGUGAGUAACGCGUGAGUAACCUGCCUCUGAGAGGGGAAUAACAUUCUGAAAAGAAUGCUAAUACCGCAUAACAUAUAUUUAUCGCAUGGUAGAUAUAUCAAAGAUUUAUCGCUUAGAGAUGGACUCGCGUCCGAUUAGUUAGUUGGUGAGGUAACGGCUCACCAAGACCGCGAUCGGUAGCCGGACUGAGAGGUUGAACGGCCACAUUGGGACUGAGACACGGCCCAGACUCCUACGGGAGGCAGCAGUGGGGGAUAUUGCGCAAUGGGGGAAACCCUGACGCAGCAACGCCGCGUGAAGGAUGAAGGUCUUCGGAUUGUAAACUUCUUUUAUUAAGGACGAAGAAAGUGACGGUACUUAAUGAAUAAGCUCCGGCUAACUACGUGCCAGCAGCCGCGGUAAUACGUAGGGAGCAAGCGUUGUCCGGAUUUACUGGGUGUAAAGGGUGCGUAGGCGGCUUUGCAAGUCAGAUGUGAAAUCUAUGGGCUCAACCCAUAGCCUGCAUUUGAAACUGCAGAGCUUGAGUGAAGUAGAGGCAGGCGGAAUUCCCCGUGUAGCGGUGAAAUGCGUAGAGAUGGGGAGGAACACCAGUGGCGAAGGCGGCCUGCUGGGCUUUAACUGACGCUGAGGCACGAAAGCGUGGGUAGCAAACAGGAUUAGAUACCCUGGUAGUCCACGCUGUAAACGAUGAUUACUAGGUGUGGGGGGUCUGACCCCUUCCGUGCCGGAGUUAACACAAUAAGUAAUCCACCUGGGGAGUACGG